Molecule: long non-coding RNA, 937 nt
Filed under: Bactrocera tryoni
Lineage: Eukaryota; Metazoa; Arthropoda; Insecta; Diptera; Tephritidae
Description: uncharacterized LOC120781563, transcript variant X1
Source: RNAcentral
CAUUAAAUUUCACAAGAAGAAAGGUAUAGACAGGAAGAUAUGUACGUAAACUUGGAAUAAGACGAGAACCAAUUUUCAACAAAUUUGGUGCGUGAGUACACAAAUCAAGUUAUUUCAUCCUACGCGUAAAAGGUGUUAAAAUCAGACUAAAUACAUAUUUUCAAUGAUCAAAACACCAAAUAUGUAGACUCCUAUUCAUAUUGCCGAUCCUUUACUAAACAUAUGGUUAAUCUUUUUAUAUUUUUUAUGGUGAUGAGCCAACCCACCAUUUCCCGUUGUAUCGAAUAUAUUUGUAAAUUGGUGGUGGAGCGUAACACGGCGAAGUUCGUUUUUGUAAUUCUGUUGAAGAAUACAAUAGAAUUAAGACUCGAUUUUAUUCGAAAUUUGGAAUAAAAGGUGUAAUUGGAGCAAUUGAUUGCACUCAUGUUGGCAUAAUUGCACCUGCCUUGUCAAACACAGUUGUACCGCAUGAUUAUAUGAACAGAAAAGGUUUGUGACGAUGAACUAAUUUUCCGACUCGUGAAUGCAAAAUUUCCCGGCUCAUGUCAUGACUCCGGUAUAUGGACUACUUCGCUAGCAAGGAUAAAGUUAAGUUCAAUAUUAGGCACAUAAAAGCAAGAAACACGAUUGAAAGAGCAUUUGGAGUUUUAAAAUCACGCUUUCGUUGCAUUUCAAGAGAACGUACAUUGCGGUAUAAACAAUCCAAAGCUGCAUUAUUUGUUUAUACUUGUACAAUAUUUUAGAAAACCAUGGCAUUUUUCUAAAUGAAACCGAAAUAUUGCCAGAUCGAUCACCUCCUGAAAAUGUGGGAGCAAUCUCUGAAAUCCAUUCGGGAUAGUAUUACACUCGAGGCAGAGCAGCACGUCAAAGGUGCAUUAACACAUUAAAUAAUUAAAAUUCUACAUAUACAUAUAUUUCAAUUCAAACUUCAUUUAUU